Small nuclear RNA from Heterocephalus glaber (naked mole-rat), 140 nucleotides. Its record names the gene U1. It matches the Rfam family "U1 spliceosomal RNA". From Rfam's summary of the family: U1 is a small nuclear RNA (snRNA) component of the spliceosome (involved in pre-mRNA splicing). The record is from Ensembl. NCBI's taxonomy places the organism in Eukaryota, Metazoa, Chordata, Mammalia, Rodentia, Bathyergidae.
ACACUUACCUGCCAGGGGAGAUACCAUGAUCACAAAGGUGGUUUUCCCAGGGUGAGGCUUACCCACUGCACUCUGGAUGUGCUGACCCCUUUGAUUUCCCCAAAUGUGGGAAACUCGACUGCAUAAUUUGUGGCAGUGAA